CCCCUAGAUGUUCUGGGCCGCACGCGCGCUACACUGAACAGUUCAACAAGUCUUAACCUUGGCCGAUAGGUCUGGGUAAUCUUUGAACGCUGGUCGUGAUGGGGAUAGACUUUUGCAAUUUUUGGUCUUCAACGAGGAAUUCCUAGUAAACGCAAGUCAUCAGCUUGCAUUGAUUACGUCCCUGCCCUUUGUACACACCGCCCGUCGCACCUACCGAUUGAAUGGUCCGGUGAAAUCUCGGGACGGCGGCUUGGUCGCUUGCGUCCGACUGCUGAAACUUGAUUAAACCAUAUCAUUUAGAGGAAGGUGAAGUCGUAACA
Molecule: ribosomal RNA, 320 nt
Filed under: uncultured eukaryote
Lineage: Eukaryota
Description: partial 18S ribosomal RNA
Rfam family: Eukaryotic small subunit ribosomal RNA
Source: RNAcentral